GAUUUUGACAUAGGGAGGCAAUGAGAACGACCCUUUCCUUCUGGUGGAGGUUGCUGAGCAGGGGUGAUAUGAGCUUCUCAGUCUGUUCAAGCUGCUAUAACAAAAUGCCUUAGACUGGGAGGCUUAAAAACAACAGACAGUUAUUUCUCCCAGUUCUACAGACUGGGAAGUUCAAGAUAAGGUGGCAGCAGAUUUGGUGUCUGGUGACCACCUGCUUUCUGGCUCAUAGCUUGCUACAGUUUGAAUGUCCCCUCCAAAACUCAUGUUGAAACUUAAUCCCUAAUGUGGCAGUGUUGAGAGGCAGGGCUUUUAAUAAAGGCAAUUCUGUUUGCUGCAAAGAAUCAAGAGGCAAACCUGUAAGACUCAGGUGAAAAGACAAGGAAAAUUGGAACUUCUUUUUCUGUUCUGGGAUCUUGUUUUGAAUGUUGCUUAAAACGACCGAGUCUUACUCAGACACUGGCAACCAUUUCGCGCAGAAGAGAUUUCUGCCAAGACAAGAUGCAAAUUGUAGAUUGGACCCAUUGGUUUUGGAGUCUGGGGAUAUGCAGAGGCUAUGCAGAGGGGUGCUGCUCAGCUCAGCACCCCUGGUUUUCUGGAUGGAGUCGGGGCACCAGCUGGCAGGCAGCCCAGCACAGCUCAUUUUUUGAAAAACCAAAAUGAAACAGCAACACCACCAACAACAUAGCAUCAUCUUGAACAGAAAAAUAUAGCAAGGAGCUGGGAGACAGAUUAAGCAAUUCAGGAGCUAGGAUGACGUGUGGGAAUUUUAGACUGUUUCAUCCCAUUAGCAAAGAUAAAAUGCAUACAUUUCACAUAAAGUCAUGUGUUGUUAACACAAAUUUAUAAUUCUAUUGAAGGUCAAUAAAAUGCUUAAUACAAUAUUCAUGUGAUUAGGAAUUCCCAUGUUGCAGAGGCUAGAAGGACACUUCUACUCUCAGGCUGAGGGUCUGGGCUUCCCAGCUCAUUCCAAGCCUGAGGCAGAGCCACCUGGACUGGUGGCAGUGGUCAGAGGAAGGACACAAAAGCUUUGGAACGUGCAUCCCUUGGAGGUUGCUGGUGCUGACUCUGGACAUUUCAUUCCCCAGUGACCUUGUUGUUUCUUCUCCUCAUUUGUGAAGUGUCCUGUUUGCUUUAUAGGCUUGUUUAGACACUCAGAUGAAAUAAUGGAUGAUAUUAUGAAAAUUGUAAGUGACAAUAGAAAUGUAAGAUGCACAUAGGAAUGAGAGAAAUAGAUCCUCAGAAGAAGGAGGAAAACCACCAAGCCUAAAACACUAAGAAGCUAAAGCUCGGGUCUGGAUGAGAAAAAAAAGGCUUAAGAGGACUAAGAUUGCAAAGCCAGGAUGAUGCUGUGUUUUUGCUGACCUCUUUGGAAUAUGGUUGGCUACUAGAAUCCUGGCAGGGCCCUGUAAGAGUCGCUGGCCAGACAGACUCUCGAGCCGGCCUGCCUGGUUUCACACUCUGCCUCACCACUGUGACCAUGUGACCUUGGGUGGGAGACUUUGCUUCUCUUUGCCUCAAUUUUCUUAUCUGUGAAAUGGGGAUAACCACAUUCAUCUCAGAGGAUAGUUGUAAGAAUUAAGAGAAUCCAUUCAUGUGAAGUGAUUCAGAAUAUUUCCAGAAUAGUGUCUGGAAAAUGAUAAGUUCUCAAUAAAUCAGCAAUCAUUAUUUC
This is a long non-coding RNA of Macaca mulatta (Rhesus monkey), 1669 nucleotides long. The record is from Ensembl. Lineage: Eukaryota; Metazoa; Chordata; Mammalia; Primates; Cercopithecidae.